UCUCUGCUGGUACAUCGGAAGUACACGCGCCUGUCAUAAGGCACCCACCGCCAUUUCUCGUGGUUGUGCGAAAGUUGGGUUCGACUCCCAGGCAGAGAG
Tephrocybe rancida is the source of this 99-nucleotide non-coding RNA. NCBI's taxonomy places the organism in Eukaryota, Fungi, Basidiomycota, Agaricomycetes, Agaricales, Lyophyllaceae. The record is from the annotation of a GenBank genome assembly.